CCCAGACUCCUACGGGAGGCAGCAGUGGGGAAUAUUGCACAAUGGGGGAAACCCUGAUGCAGCGACGCCGCGUGAGUGAAGAAGUAUUUCGGUAUGUAAAGCUCUAUCGGCAGGGAAGAAAGAAAUGACGGUACCUGACUAAGAAGCCCCGGCUAACUACGUGCCAGCAGCCGCGGGAAUACGUAGGGGGCAAGCGUUAUCCGGAUUUACUGGGUGUAAAGGGGGCGCAGACGGCAGCGCAAGCCAGGAGUGAAAGCCCGGGGCCCAACCCCGGGACUGCUCUUGGAACUGCGCGGCUGGAGUGCAGGAGGGGCAGGCGGAAUUCCUGGUGUAGCGGUGAAAUGCGUAGAUAUCAGGAGGAACACCGGUGGCGAAGGCGGCCUGCUGGACUGCGACUGACGUUGAGGCCCGAAAGCGUGGGGAGCAAACAGGAUUAGAUACCCCAGUAGUG
Molecule: ribosomal RNA, 451 nt
Filed under: uncultured bacterium
Lineage: Bacteria
Description: bacterial SSU rRNA
Rfam family: Bacterial small subunit ribosomal RNA
Source: RNAcentral